This 253-nucleotide ribosomal RNA is filed under the name uncultured bacterium. RNAcentral describes it as "partial 16S ribosomal RNA". It matches the Rfam family "Bacterial small subunit ribosomal RNA", at positions 524 to 776 of the family's 1533-position model. The record is from RNAcentral.
UACGGAGGGGGCAAGCGUUAUCCGGAUUCACUGGGUUUAAAGGGUGCGUAGGUGGCUUUGUAAGUCAGUGGUGAAAGCCCGGAGCUCAACUCCGGAACUGCCAUUGAUACUGCUUAGCUUGAAUCACGUCGAGGUGGAUGGAAUAAUACAUGUAGCGGUGAAAUGCUUAGAUAUGUAUUAGAACACCGAUUGCGAAGGCAGUUCACUAGGCGUGUAUUGACACUGAGGCACGAAAGCGUGGGGAUCAAACAGG